RNAcentral lists this ribosomal RNA (252 nucleotides) under uncultured bacterium. Its description in RNAcentral is "partial 16S ribosomal RNA". It matches the Rfam family "Bacterial small subunit ribosomal RNA", at positions 524 to 776 of the family's 1533-position model. The record is from RNAcentral.
UACGUAGGGUGCGAGCGUUGUCCGGAAUUAUUGGGCGUAAAGAGCUUGUAGGCGGUCUGUCGCGUCUGCUGUGAAAAUCCGGGGCUCAACCCCGGACUUGCAGUGGGUACGGGCAGACUAGAGUGUGGUAGGGGAGACUGGAAUUCCUGGUGUAGCGGUGAAAUGCGCAGAUAUCAGGAGGAACACCGAUGGCGAAGGCAGGUCUCUGGGCCACUACUGACGCUGAGAAGCGAAAGCAUGGGAGCGAACAGG